GAUCCUGGCUCAGAUUGAACGCUGGCGGCAGGCCUAACACAUGCAAGUCGAACGGUAACAGGAAGCAGCUUGCUGCUUUGCUGACGGGUGGCGGACGGGUGAGUAAUGUCUGGGAAACUGCCUGAUGGAGGGGGAUAACUACUGGAAACGGUAGCUAAUACCGCAUAACGUCGCAAGACCAAAGAGGGGGGACCUUCGGGCCUCUUGCCAUCGGAUGUGCCCAGAUGGGAUUAGCUAGUAGGUGGGG
Molecule: ribosomal RNA, 247 nt
Filed under: uncultured bacterium
Lineage: Bacteria
Description: partial 16S ribosomal RNA
Rfam family: Bacterial small subunit ribosomal RNA
Source: RNAcentral